UUAGAACGUCGUGAGACAGUUCGGUCCCUAUCUGCCGUGGGCGCUGGAGAACUGAGGGGGGCUGCUCCUAGUACGAGAGGACCGGAGUGGACGCAUCACUGGUGUUCGGGUUGUCAUGCCAAUGGCACUGCCCGGUAGCUAAAUGCGGAAGAGAUAAGUGCUGAAAGCAUCUAAGCACGAAACUUGCCCCGAGAUGAGUUCUCCCUGACUCCUUGAGAGUCCUGAAGGAACGUUGAAGACGACGACGUUGAUAGGCCGGGUGUGUAAGCGCAGCGAUGCGUUGAGCUAACCGGUACUAAUGAACCGUGAGGCUUAACCUUACAACGCCGAAG
This 332-nucleotide ribosomal RNA is filed under the name Escherichia coli O103:H25 str. 2010C-4529. RNAcentral describes it as "bacterial LSU rRNA". It matches the Rfam family "Bacterial large subunit ribosomal RNA", at positions 2611 to 2925 of the family's 2925-position model. Lineage: Bacteria; Pseudomonadati; Pseudomonadota; Gammaproteobacteria; Enterobacterales; Enterobacteriaceae. The record is from RNAcentral.